RNAcentral lists this ribosomal RNA (274 nucleotides) under uncultured bacterium. Its description in RNAcentral is "partial 16S ribosomal RNA". It matches the Rfam family "Bacterial small subunit ribosomal RNA", at positions 523 to 796 of the family's 1533-position model. The record is from RNAcentral.
AUACGGAGGGUGCAAGCGUUGUUCGGAAUCACUGGGCGUAAAGGGCGCGCAGGCGGUUUGGUAAGUCAGAUGUGAAAGCCCACGGCUCAACCGUGGAAGUGCAUUUGAAACUGCCAGACUUGAGUACCAGAGGGGAAAGUGGAAUUCCCGGUGUAGAGGUGAAAUUCGUAGAUAUCGGGAGGAAUACCGGUGGCGAAGGCGACUUUCUGGCUGGAUACUGACGCUGAGGCGCGAAAGCGUUGGGAGCAAACAGGAUUAGAAACCCUAGUAGUCC